RNAcentral lists this ribosomal RNA (1336 nucleotides) under human gut metagenome. RNAcentral describes it as "bacterial LSU rRNA". It matches the Rfam family "Bacterial large subunit ribosomal RNA", at positions 1577 to 2925 of the family's 2925-position model. The record is from RNAcentral.
GAAAUUAGAGUAAGGAAGCAAAGUGUAAUCAGGCGAGAAAAGGUAUAUGUAUUGAUGAGGUGACCGUACCGCAAACCGACACAGGUAGAUGAGGAGAGGAUCCUAAGGCCAACGGGAGAAGGGUUGUUAAGGAACUCGGCAUAUUGACCCCGUAACUUCGGAAUAAGGGGUGCCACUGAAAGGUGGUCGCAGUGAAAAGGCCCAGGCGACUGUUUAUCAAAAACACAGGUCUCUGCUAAAUCGAAAGAUGACGUAUAGGGGCUGACGCCUGCCCGGUGCCGGAAGGUUAAGGGGAAGUGUAAGGGCAACCGAAGCACAGAACUUAAGCCCCGGUAAACGGCGGCCGUAACUAUAACGGUCCUAAGGUAGCGAAAUUCCUUGUCAGGUAAGUUCUGACCUGCACGAAUGGCGUAACGAUCUGGGCACUGUCUCAACAGCCCGCCCGGCGAAAUUGUAGUACCGGUGAAGAUGCCGGUUACCCGCGACUAGACGGAAAGACCCCAUGGAGCUUUACUGUAGUUUGAUACUGGAUUUCGACAGAUUAUGUACAGGAUAUGUGGGAGACGGAGAAGUGAUUGCGCCAGCAGUCAUGGAGUCGGCCUUGGGAUACCACGCUUAAUCUGUUGGGAUUCUAACCUACGCCUUUGAAUCAAGGCGGGGGACAAUGUCAGGCAGGCAGUUUGACUGGGGCGGUCGCCUCCAAAAGAGUAACGGAGGCGUUCAAAGGUUGGUUCAGCGCGGACGGAAAUCGCGCAAUGAGUAUAAACGCAUAAACCGGCCUAACUGUGAGACAGACACGUCGAACAGUAACGAAAGUUGGAGUUAGUGAUCAGGUGGUAGUGAAUGGAAAUGCCAUCGCUUAACGGAUAAAAGCUACCCUGGGGAUAACAGGCUGAUCUCCCCCAAGAGUUCACAUCGACGGGGAGGUUUGGCACCUCGAUGUCGGCUCAUCACAUCCUGGGGCUUGGAGCAGGUCCCAAGGGUUCGGCUGUCCGCCGAUUAAAGUGGUACGCGAGCUGGGUUCAGAACGUCGUGAGACAGUUCGGUCCCUAUCUGUCGUGGGCGCAGGAUAUUUGAGAGGAGCUGUCCUUAGUACGAGAGGACCGGGAUGGACAUACCGCCGGUGCACCGGUUGUUCCGCCAGGAGCACAGCCGGGUAGCCGAGUAUGGACGGAUAAACGCUGAAGGCAUCUAAGCGUGAAACACACCUCAAGAUAAGAUAUCCCACAAUGCAAGUUGGUAAGGACACUUGAAGACGACAAGUUUGAUAGGUCAGGGGUGGAAGUGCAGUAAUGCAUUAAGCUGACUGAUACUAAUAGUCCGAGGGCUUGAACAA